CGUUGUACGGAUAGCACGUGGGGGUCGGGGGGU
This 33-nucleotide small RNA is filed under the name Bombyx mori (domestic silkworm). Its description in RNAcentral is "ovarian small RNA-14597". Lineage: Eukaryota; Metazoa; Arthropoda; Insecta; Lepidoptera; Bombycidae. The record is from RNAcentral.